AGCGGGUCUACCAUGCAGUCGACGCUGAAGCACCAGCUUGCUGGUGUGGAUGAGUGGCGAACGGGUGAGUAAUACGUGAGUAACCUGCCCUUGACUCUGGGAUAAGCCCGGGAAACUGGGUCUAAUACUGGAUGCUACAUGUCACCGCAUGGUGGUGUGUGGAAAGGGUUUACUGGUCUUGGAUGGGCUCACGGCCUAUCAGCUUGUUGGUGAGGUAAUGGCUCACCAAGGCGACGACGGGUAGCCGGCCUGAGAGGGUGACCGGCCACACUGGGACUGAGACACGGCCCAGACUCCUACGGGAGGCAGCAGUGGGGAAUAUUGCACAAUGGGCGAAAGCCUGAUGCAGCGACGCCGCGUGAGGGAUGACGGCCUUCGGGUUGUAAACCUCUUUCAGCAGGGAAGAAGCCACAAGUGACGGUACCUGCAGAAGAAGCGCCGGCUAACUACGUGCCAGCAGCCGCGGUAAUACGUAGGGCGCAAGCGUUGUCCGGAAUUAUUGGGCGUAAAGAGCUCGUAGGCGGUUUGUCGCGUCUGCUGUGAAAGCCCGGGGCUUAACCCCGGGUGUGCAGUGGGUACGGGCAGACUAGAGUGCAGUAGGGGAGACUGGAAUUCCUGGUGUAGCGGUGGAAUGCGCAGAUAUCAGGAGGAACACCGAUGGCGAAGGCAGGUCUCUGGGCUGUUACUGACGCUGAGGAGCGAAAGCAUGGGGAGCGAACAGGAUUAGAUACCCUGGUAGUCCAUGCCGUAAACGUUGGGCACUAGGUGUGGGGGACAUUCCACGUUUUCCGCGCCGUAGCUAACGCAUUAAGUGCCCCGCCUGGGGAGUACGGCCGCAAGGCUAAAACUCAAAGGAAUUGACGGGGGCCCGCACAAGCGGCGGAGCAUGCGGAUUAAUUCGAUGCAACGCGAAGAACCUUACCAAGGCUU
Molecule: ribosomal RNA, 930 nt
Filed under: Kocuria sp. X35
Lineage: Bacteria; Bacillati; Actinomycetota; Actinomycetes; Micrococcales; Micrococcaceae
Description: bacterial SSU rRNA
Rfam family: Bacterial small subunit ribosomal RNA
Source: RNAcentral